This 904-nucleotide long non-coding RNA is filed under the name Homo sapiens (human). RNAcentral describes it as "Pvt1 oncogene". The stretch from base 88 to 252 matches the Rfam family "Pvt1 oncogene conserved region 2". The record is from RNAcentral. Lineage: Eukaryota; Metazoa; Chordata; Mammalia; Primates; Hominidae.
GGCAAGAUUUCGGGAGGAGAGGGCUGGGUCGCGUGUCCUGGCAGGGCCACAGGAAGAGCAUACACAUCUCCUGCGUCUUCGUAUUUUGACCAUAGCUGUCUGCAGUGCAGGAAGCCAACUAUUAAGGGGAAACAAAAGUGUUCUUAGGAGUCCUGCUGUCACUGUGGAUUGAGCCGGUGAAGCCCUGAGGGAUUUCAUCGCUGAGGUGGAUGGAGAAGCAGCUGGGGGCCUUGGCUGUAAGGACCCCUAAGGGCCUGAUCUUUUGGCCAGAAGGAGAUUAAAAAGAUGCCCCUCAAGAUGGCUGUGCCUGUCAGCUGCAUGGAGCUUCGUUCAAGUAUUUUCUGAGCCUGAUGGAUUUACAGUGAUCUUCAGUGGUCUGGGGAAUAACGCUGGUGGAACCAUGCACUGGAAUGACACACGCCCGGCACAUUUCAGGAUACUAAAAGUGGUUUUAAGGGAGGCUGUGGCUGAAUGCCUCAUGGAUUCUUACAGCUUGGAUGUCCAUGGGGGACGAAGGACUGCAGCUGGCUGAGAGGGUUGAGAUCUCUGUUUACUUAGAUCUCUGCCAACUUCCUUUGGGUCUCCCUAUGGAAUGUAAGACCCCGACUCUUCCUGGUGAAGCAUCUGAUGCACGUUCCAUCCGGCGCUCAGCUGGGCUUGAGGACUUCGCAGGUGAGCAGUAACGGAAAUCAGCCCCGUUUAUUCCUCCCAGCACCUGCCUUAUCCAACUCCCCACGCUGUGGCUGAGUCCCAGCCUGCUAUGGAAGCAUCACUGGACUCCCAUUGAACUCUGUGCAGAUUCGCUGUUCGUAGACAUGGUACCUGAUGGACACCAAGCUACGUACAGCUUCAAGGCCCCUUCUUUCUUUGCUAAUAAAAAAUAAAAAAUAAAAACAUAAUACAC